GGAACCCACGUAAAAAUUAUUCCACCUAAGCUGAAUCGAAAUUUGUUUUUUAAUCGGAAGGGAUUUUAUAGUCUCAACGUUCUGAUUGUUUGUGACGAUCAGCAAAGGAUUCGUUUCGUUGAUCCUACCUUCCAGGGAUCUAAUCAUGACUCUCAUAUAUGGCGUGUAAGCCCUGCAAGAACUCACUUUGAGCAGCUUCAACAAAAUGGUGAAGUUAAUACUAAGAUUCUAGGUGAUGCUGGUUAUCCAUCGGAACCUUGGUUAGUAACGCCAUUCAGAGCAGCGGAGGAAGGGAGUUUGGAGAGCGAUUUUAAUCGCAGGCAUGCCUUGGGUCGUGCUAUCGUCGAGCGGACAAUCGGUUUACUAAAAAAUCGGUUUAGAUGCAUCCUUGGC
This is a long non-coding RNA of Toxorhynchites rutilus septentrionalis, 393 nucleotides long. RefSeq lists it as uncharacterized. The transcript has 3 exons. The record is from RefSeq and is a predicted model, not a curated record. NCBI's taxonomy places the organism in Eukaryota, Metazoa, Arthropoda, Insecta, Diptera, Culicidae.